UCACUGUAAACUGGAGAAACUGUGGUUGUGUAUGUGUGGUGUCUCAGAUGAAGGCUGUGUUGCUCUGACUUCAGCUCUCAGAUCAAAUCCCUCAAACCUGAGAGAACUGGAUCUGUCCUGCAAUAAUCUUAGAAACUCCGAUAAGAAGCUGCUCUCUGCUCUUAAGAAUGAUGAAAAAUACAAACUACAGACACUAAGGCUCUAAUGCAUAUCGGUGUGUGAUGAAGACUCAAGUUUUGCUGCAUUUCACUGUUGGAGAAUAGAUGUUUAAACCCAUCAAACAUUUAGUCCAAAUACAUGAAACAGGCUCAGACCUCUACAGACUCUACACUUUUAAUACAUGCAUAGUCAUAGCUAUUUUGCUAGAAAAUCAUAUACAUCAUAUGUAGGUGUAAAAUGUCUUGCAUUGAAGAAAUAAAAUACAUAAAUAUAAUGUCAUUAUUUUUGUUGUGUACAAUUAAUAGUCUAACAUUUUGUAGCAAAAUUAAAUUGACAGUAUAAUGAUACAGUAUUUUUAAAGCAAUCGUUGCUUUUGUAGUUCGCU
Molecule: long non-coding RNA, 544 nt
Organism: Tachysurus fulvidraco (yellow catfish)
Lineage: Eukaryota; Metazoa; Chordata; Actinopteri; Siluriformes; Bagridae
Exons: 3
Source: RefSeq, a predicted model, not a curated record